CCUGGCUCAGGAUGAACGCUAGCUACAGGCUUAACACAUGCAAGCCGAGGGCAGCAUAUCGAAGCUUGCUUGAUAGAUGGCGACCGGCGCACGGGUGCGUAACACGUAUCCAAUCUACCCAUGGCUCAGGGAUAGCCUUUCGAAAGAAAGAUUAAUACCUGAUGGUUUCAUGAUUCCGCAUGGACUUAUGAAUAAAGAUUUAUCGGCGAUGGAUGAGGAUGCGUCCGAUUAGCUUGUUGGCGGGUAACGGCCCACCAAGGCGACGAUCGGUAGGGGCUCUGAGAGGAGGAUCCCCCACAUUGGAACUGAGACACGGUCCAAACUCCUACGGGAGGCAGCAGUGAGGAAUAUUGGUCAAUGGGCGAGAGCCUGAACCAGCCAAGUAGCGUGAGGGAUGACUGCCCUAUGGGUUGUAAACCUCUUUUGUUUGGGAAUAAAGUGAGCCACGUGUGGCUUUUUGUAUGUACCUUACGAAUAAGCAUCGGCUAAUUCCGUGCCAGCAGCGGC
This 507-nucleotide ribosomal RNA is filed under the name uncultured bacterium. RNAcentral's name for it is "bacterial SSU rRNA". It matches the Rfam family "Bacterial small subunit ribosomal RNA", at positions 18 to 518 of the family's 1533-position model. The record is from RNAcentral.